RNAcentral lists this ribosomal RNA (1384 nucleotides) under uncultured bacterium. RNAcentral's name for it is "bacterial SSU rRNA". It matches the Rfam family "Bacterial small subunit ribosomal RNA", at positions 27 to 1398 of the family's 1533-position model. The record is from RNAcentral.
GAUUGAACGCUGGCGGCAGGCCUAACACAUGCAAGUCGAACGGUAACAGGAAGCAGCUUGCUGCUUCGCUGACGAGUGGCGGACGGGUGAGUAAUGUCUGGGAAACUGCCUGAUGGAGGGGGAUAACUACUGGAAACGGUAGCUAAUACCGCAUAACGUCGCAAGACCAAAGAGGGGGACCUUCGGGCCUCUUGCCAUCGGAUGUGCCCAGAUGGGAUUAGCUAGUAGGUGGGGUAACGGCUCACCUAGGCGACGAUCCCUAGCUGGUCUGAGAGGAUGACCAGCCACACUGGAACUGAGACACGGUCCAGACUCCUACGGGAGGCAGCAGUGGGGAAUAUUGCACAAUGGGCGCAAGCCUGAUGCAGCCAUGCCGCGUGUAUGAAGAAGGCCUUCGGGUUGUAAAGUACUUUCAGCGGGGAGGAAGGCGAUAAGGUUAAUAACCUUGUCGAUUGACGUUACCCGCAGAAGAAGCACCGGCUAACUCCGUGCCAGCAGCCGCGGUAAUACGGAGGGUGCAAGCGUUAAUCGGAAUUACUGGGCGUAAAGCGCACGCAGGCGGUCUGUCAAGUCGGAUGUGAAAUCCCCGGGCUCAACCUGGGAACUGCAUUCGAAACUGGCAGGCUAGAGUCUUGUAGAGGGGGGUAGAAUUCCCAGGUGUAGCGGUGAAAUGCGUAGAGAUCUGGAGGAAUACCGGUGGCGAAGGCGGGCCCCCUGGACAAAGACUGACGCUCAGGUGCGAAAGCGUGGGGAGCAAACAGGGAUUAGAUACCCUGGUAGUCCACGCCGUAAACGAUGUCGACUUGGAGGUUGUGCCCUUGAGGCGUGGCUUCCGGAGCUAACGCGUUAAGUCGACCGCCUGGGGAGUACGGCCGCAAGGUUAAAACUCAAAUGAAUUGACGGGGGCCCGCACAAGCGGUGGAGCAUGUGGUUUAAUUCGAUGCAACGCGAAGAACCUUACCUACUCUUGACAUCCAGAGAACUUUCCAGAGAUGGAUUGGUGCCUUCGGGAACUCUGAGACAGGUGCUGCAUGGCUGUCGUCAGCUCGUGUUGUGAAAUGUUGGGUUAAGUCCCGCAACGAGCGCAACCCUUAUCCUUUGUUGCCAGCGGUUAGGCCGGGAACUCAAAGGAGACUGCCAGUGAUAAACUGGAGGAAGGUGGGGAUGACGUCAAGUCAUCAUGGCCCUUACGAGUAGGGCUACACACGUGCUACAAUGGCGCAUACAAAGAGAAGCGACCUCGCGAGAGCAAGCGGACCUCAUAAAGUGCGUCGUAGUCCGGAUUGGAGUCUGCAACUCGACUCCAUGAAGUCGGAAUCGCUAGUAAUCGUGGAUCAGAAUGCCACGGUGAAUACGUUCCCGGGCCUUGUACACACCGCCCGUC